This 74-nucleotide transfer RNA is filed under the name Marmota monax (woodchuck). RNAcentral describes it as "tRNA.Ala". Lineage: Eukaryota; Metazoa; Chordata; Mammalia; Rodentia; Sciuridae. The record is from RNAcentral.
CUGGGGAUAUAGCUCAGUUGGUAGAGUGCUUGCCUUGCACGCACAAGGCCCUGGGUUUGAUCCCAAGCACCAGA